GCCCCAAAUGUUGCCAGUCAAACCUUUUGGGUGGCUGGUCUCUCAACUCAAAUUGCCUAGAAAUUGUUGCCACAGAGUGUGACUGGUCUUUUGGGGCUUCACAGUGCCUUAAACACAUUUCCUGUGUCAUCAGAUGCUUUUCCUACCUUCUAAGUCUCUUACAGUUAUGUUCAAAGUUAAUUAUGGCUGAGCUUUAAUGCUGUAGUUCUGAUAAUCCUGGCUCUCCCCACAUAGCUCAGUGAGGCACCAGCAAUUAAGAAAUGGCUUUCCAGGCUUUCCUGGCAGACGGGAAGAAGCAGUGACCUAAUUACCUGUGAGCACGACAGAGUAGAGCUUCAUUUUGUCUGUGUUUGUUUCAGCUAUUCCAGUGGUGGCCCGUGCUGUGCUCCUACCUGAAGUCCCAGUUUGUGAUGCCAGAGCCGGCCCUCCUGGAUGUGGUCUGGGUGGUGGGGGUGACGAGAGCUGCCUGUGCAAAACCUCACAGAACGGAGGAAGAAACUCACAGUUGGAAAAAACCUGAUGAUUAGAGAUGUAACAUCUAAUACAAAGCUCAUCCAGUGGUUAAGCUGUAUUUUUCCAAGGAAGUGUUUGGACAAGAACAGUGUGGAAAAGAAAAAGGGUAAGAACUAAGUCAAAUACCUUUGUUACUUGAUUUGGAAUUUGAAAGUUUUGCUGGCUGGGUUUUCUCUUUGGCUUUCUUGGAAAAGUUUUCUGGUUCCUUCACUUUCGUGAACGUACCUCCACAUGUCUCUUGAUGCUCAACCCACCAAAAGUCUCGUGCAGAGGGUGGUCUAUUCAUUGAACGUUUCACAUAUCCAAAAUAAGGUUUUCUGUUUUGACAGGGGCCAUUGCAUCGCCACCAAUGCUGGCGAUACAAAUCCACCUCAUCAUGAAAAUUAUGAUAAAUCUAGGUUAAAAAAAAAAAAGCCAGUAAUUCAGAAAAUUUCUGGAUUUUGUAAGUCUUGAGAUUAAUCACUAGUGCUGCAUUUUUUAAAAACACAAGAGCGCUCCGUUCCUUUGUAAUACAGAGGUCAAACCUAAAUUCCUCCUGCAUGCCAAAAAGGAAAAAAAAAAUUGUCUGCUUAUGGACUGACACACUUCAAAAAGCCCUUCUCAAAGUGUUGUCUUCCUCACAAAAUAAAUAGAAUUUAUUAUACUAGUAAACCUGAAUACUGACAAAUGGUCUGUGAUUUGAGAAGCACUUGCAUUGUUCCAAAAUUUAUCCCUCUCUGACAAUUUUUUUUUCUA
This is a long non-coding RNA of Dromaius novaehollandiae (emu), 1248 nucleotides long. RefSeq lists it as uncharacterized. The record is from RefSeq and is a predicted model, not a curated record. NCBI's taxonomy places the organism in Eukaryota, Metazoa, Chordata, Aves, Casuariiformes, Dromaiidae. The transcript has 2 exons.